This is a non-coding RNA of Stegodyphus mimosarum, 73 nucleotides long. The record is from Rfam. NCBI's taxonomy places the organism in Eukaryota, Metazoa, Arthropoda, Arachnida, Araneae, Eresidae.
GCCUUCGUGGUGUAGUGGUCAGCACGCUCGGCGCGUAUUCGAGAGGUCCGUGGUUCGAGUCCCGGCGGGGGCA